This 522-nucleotide ribosomal RNA is filed under the name uncultured bacterium. Its description in RNAcentral is "bacterial SSU rRNA". It matches the Rfam family "Bacterial small subunit ribosomal RNA", at positions 8 to 518 of the family's 1533-position model. The record is from RNAcentral.
AGAGUUUGAUUCUGGCUCAGGAUGAACGCUAGCUACAGGCUUAACACAUGCAAGUCGAGGGGCAGCAGGACGAUAGCUUGCUAUUGUUGCUGGCGACCGGCGCACGGGUGAGUAACGCGUAUCCAACCUUCCCCUUAGUAGGGCAUAGCCCGGUGAAAAUCGGAUUAAUACCCUAUGUUGUGUCAUGAGGACAUCUGAAUAACACUAAAGAUUUAUCGCUAAGGGAUGGGGAUGCGUCCGAUUAGGUAGUCGGCGGGGUAACGGCCCACCGAGCCCUCGAUCGGUAGGGGUUCUGAGAGGAAGGUCCCCCACACUGGUACUGAGACACGGACCAGACUCCUACGGGAGGCAGCAGUGAGGAAUAUUGGUCAAUGGGCGUAAGCCUGAACCAGCCAAGUAGCCGUGCAGGAUGACGGCCCUAUGGGUUGUAAACUGCUUUUAUACGGGGAUAAAGUGAGGGACGUGUCCCUUAUUGUAGGUACCGUAUGAAUAAGGACCGGCUAAUUCCGUGCCAGCAGCAGC